This 72-nucleotide transfer RNA is filed under the name Uromastyx benti (Yemeni spiny-tailed lizard). RNAcentral describes it as "tRNA-Gly". Lineage: Eukaryota; Metazoa; Chordata; Lepidosauria; Squamata; Agamidae. The record is from RNAcentral.
GUUUCUAUAGUUGAAUAACAACGUUGAUUUUUCGAGUCAAUAGGUUUGGGUGAGUUAGGCCCAAUAGAAAUG